Molecule: ribosomal RNA, 1248 nt
Filed under: metagenome
Description: bacterial LSU rRNA
Rfam family: Bacterial large subunit ribosomal RNA
Source: RNAcentral
GAUACGACCGUACCGCAAACCGACACUGGUGCGCGAGAUGAGUAUUCUAAGGCGCUUGAGAGAACUCAGGAGAAGGAACUCGGCAAAUUGACACCGUAACUUCGGAAGAAGGUGUGCCCUAUUAGUGUGUAGUGAACAACGAAGCAUGAAUGGGUUGCAAAAAAUCGGUGGCUGCGACUGUUUAUUAAAAACACAGCACUCUGCAAACACGAAAGUGGACGUAUAGGGUGUGACGCCUGCCCGGUGCUGGAAGAUUAAAUGAUGGGGUGCAAGCUUUGAUUGAAGUCCCAGUAAACGGCGGCCGUAACAAUAACGGUCCUAAGGUAGCGAAAUUCCUUGUCGGGUAAGUUCCGACCUGCACGAAUGGCGUAACGAUGGCCACACUGUCUCCUCCUGAGACUCAGCGAAGUUGAAAUGUUUGUGAUGAUGCAAUCUCCCCGCGGAAAGACGGAAAGACCCCAUGAACCUUUACUGUAGCUUUGUAUUGGACUUUGAACAGAUCUGUGUAGGAUAGGUGGGAGGCUUUGAAGCAGGGUCGCUAGAUCUUGUGGAGCCAACGUUGAAAUACCACCCUGGUGUGUUUGAGGUUCUAACCUAGGUCCAUUAUCUGGAUCGGGGACAGUGCAUGGUAGGCAGUUUGACUGGGGCGGUCUCCUCCCAAAGCGUAACGGAGGAGUUCGAAGGUACGCUAGUUACGGUCGGACAUCGUGACGAUAGUGCAAUGGCAUAAGCGUGCUUAACUGCGAGACUGACAAGUCGAGCAGAUGCGAAAGCAGGACAUAGUGAUCCGGUGGUUCUGUAUGGAAGGGCCAUCGCUCAACGGAUAAAAGGUACUCUGGGGAUAACAGGCUGAUACCGCCCAAGAGUUCAUAUCGACGGCGGUGUUUGGCACCUCGAUGUCGGCUCAUCUCAUCCUGGGGCUGUAGCCGGUCCCAAGGGUAUGGCUGUUCGCCAUUUAAAGAGGUACGUGAGCUGGGUUUAAAACGUCGUGAGACAGUUUGGUCCCUAUCUUCCGUGGGCGCUGCAGAUUUGAGGAAGCCUGCUCCUAGUACGAGAGGACCGGAGUGGACACACCUCUGGUGUAUCGGUUGUCACGCCAGUGGCAUUGCCGAGUAGCUAAGUGUGGAAGAGAUAACCGCUGAAAGCAUCUAAGCGGGAAACUCGUUUCAAGAUGAGAUCUGCCGGGGCCUUGAGCCCCCUAAAGAGUCGUUCAAGACCAGGACGUUGAUAGGUCAGGUGUGGAAGCGG